GACAGAGGGGGCAAGCGUUGCUCGGAAUUACUGGGCGUAAAGGGCGCGUAGGUGGCCCGGUCAGUCCGUGGUGAAAGCGCGGGGCUCAACCCUGCGUCGGCCAUGGAUACUGCCGCGGCUGGAGCACUGUAGAGGCAGGCGGAAUUCCGGGUGUAGCGGUGGAAUGCGUAGAGAUCCGGAAGAACACCGGUGGCGAAGGCGGCCUGCUGGGCAGUGGGGGAGACCCCUUCAAGCUGACACUGAGGCGCGACAGCGUGGGGAGCAAACAGG
RNAcentral lists this ribosomal RNA (270 nucleotides) under uncultured bacterium. RNAcentral describes it as "partial 16S ribosomal RNA". It matches the Rfam family "Bacterial small subunit ribosomal RNA", at positions 524 to 776 of the family's 1533-position model. The record is from RNAcentral.